CCACACCUAAAAACUUUCCACGUGAACCCGUUUCAACCCCAAUAGUUGGGGGUCUUAUUUGGCGGCGGCUGCUGGCUUAAUUGCUGGCGGCUGCUGCUUGAGUGAGCCCUAUCAAAAAAAAGCGAACGUUUGGGCUUCGGCCUGAUUUAGUAGUCUUUUUUUCUUUUAAACCCAUUCCUUAAUACUGAAUAUACUGUGGGGACGAAAGUCUCUGCUUUUAACUAGAUAG
Molecule: unclassified non-coding RNA, 229 nt
Filed under: Phytophthora nicotianae (black shank of tobacco agent)
Lineage: Eukaryota; Oomycota; Peronosporomycetes; Peronosporales; Peronosporaceae
Description: Phytophthora parasitica miscellaneous RNA
Source: RNAcentral